RNAcentral lists this long non-coding RNA (560 nucleotides) under Cavia porcellus (domestic guinea pig). RNAcentral describes it as "lncRNA (ENSCPOG00000037510.1)". Lineage: Eukaryota; Metazoa; Chordata; Mammalia; Rodentia; Caviidae. The record is from RNAcentral.
GGGAGCAGGCUGGGGUAAAAUCCCCCUUAGAGGCUUCUCCUCAGCAUCCUUGUGGUGCAGCCCUGCAGCUUCAGUCUCUGCUCUCCGCCCCGCCACCUCUUUCCUCGAGGUAUUGAACUCAUUGCCCCUGCUCAUGCACAUCCCAUGGGUGGCUGCGACGUCCUGCGUGCACAGAGGUCCUUCAUGGCCUUGAAUAAUGAGCUGUUGGCUGAGCACAUCACAGGCUGGGACCCAGACCAGCCUCCCCGAGAUCUGACUGAUGCUUUCUUGACUGAGGUGCAUCAGGGGACUAUCCUCCUCGCCAACCUGUCCUCAGUGCUGAAGGAUGAGACUGCCUGGGAGAAGCCCUUCCACUUCCUGGACAUUUCCUGGACACUGAGGCUGCUUUGUGAAAUGUGAGGCCUUCUUCCCAUUCUCUGCAGGUGAUUGUAGUGGACCUGGCUUGCUUCCAGGGUGCCGUGGUGGGAAGGAGCUCAGGCCUCUGUCUAAAUGAGCCUUGUCCCCUCCCACAGGGCACCGCAUGUGCCUCGGGGACCCCUGGCCCGCAUGGCCUCUUUUUC